RNAcentral lists this long non-coding RNA (1153 nucleotides) under Chrysemys picta bellii (western painted turtle). RNAcentral describes it as "lncRNA (ENSCPBG00000003615.1)". Lineage: Eukaryota; Metazoa; Chordata; Testudines; Emydidae. The record is from RNAcentral.
NNNUAAAAUAGCACUAGGUCCCCAGUCAUGCUCAAGGCCCCAUUGUGCUAGGUGCUGCACAUGUGCGUGUGACGAAGGGGUUAUCGUUAUAGAUAAAAUGAGUGCCAGUCCCCCUCUCAGUCCACUGUUAGCCAGUUGAUGUCCUUGUGUCAGAGUGUGGUGUGCCAUGCAUGCCUAGGCACUGCCCCAUUGCACUACUGUUGGAAGGCUGUGCCCAAGCCCCGCCUUAGCUCAGCAGGGCCAUGUCCCAUCUGUCCUGUCUGCUCUCUCCCACAGGCCGAGUGUGACGACAUCUGCGGCGAGCCAGUUCUCCUAUUCCUCUAUGGAAUCCAUCCCCUCUUCCCUCUGGAGUCCCAGCUCCUUUUCCCUGGGAGAAGCCUCCGUGACUCGGUCAGAGCCCCUCUGCCACACAAGGGAGAUCAUGCCUGUCGCAGGCUGGGAAGGAUCCACUCAUCCCAUCCGAGCCCAGCCUCUCCCCAGGCCUCCUGCCCACAGCAGACAAGACCGGCGAGAGCAGACCAUGGGUCUGGACCAGACGUCAGCCCAUGGCUCAGACUUCAACAUCCGACAGAAGCAUCUGCAGAGCCAACUGGGGGCACCUACCCUAUCCACUGAGUCGCUGGCCAAGGUGAUCCCUAACGCCCCUGCUCUGCGCCCACCGGACAGAGACCCCAGGGUGAAGCUCAACAUGAGCAGGGGCCCUUUCCUAAGCGAUGAAGUCCGGGAGGAGCUGGACUGUCACGUGCACUCAAAGAGACUCCAGCACAAGCAGGGCUUACCCCUCACCCCCCAGAAACCCCACACAGCUCUUCUGCCUCCAGCUCCACAAACCCCCAUCCCGGGGGAGCCAUUGCUGGGGGAGCGGGACACCAAGCAGCAAUGGGAAUUCAACACAGAUCGGCCCAAAUGUGGAUUUACAGCAAAGGUCCCAAGGCCCCUGAGAUCUGAUGACGGCCCUCAGCGUGCACAGAAGAUCCAGGAACCAUGUGUGUGCCCCUCGGGAUCCCUGCCCCAAAAGGCCCACAGGACCAUGGCAUCCCCUGAUGCCAUCCCUGCCAGGCUUGUGCCCACGGCGGCGGUCAAGCUGCAGGAACACGUGGCUCAGAAAUGCUCGGAGAUCCAAAUGAAGGCGUUUCCUAAGAUGGUGAGAGAG